This 393-nucleotide ribosomal RNA is filed under the name uncultured bacterium. RNAcentral describes it as "partial 16S ribosomal RNA". It matches the Rfam family "Bacterial small subunit ribosomal RNA", at positions 523 to 918 of the family's 1533-position model. The record is from RNAcentral.
AUACGGAGGAUGCAAGCGUUAUCCGGAUUUAUUGGGUUUAAAGGGUGCGUAGGCGGUUUGCUAAGCGGGAGGUGAAAUGCCGGCGCUCAACGUCGGAAGUGCCUCCCGAACUGGUGGACUUGAAUGACUCUGCCGUGGGAGGAAUGUGUAGUGUAGCGGUGAAAUGCUUAGAGAUUACACAGAACACCGAUUGCGAAGGCAUCUCACGAAUGGGUGAUUGACGCUGAGGCACGAAAGCGUGGGGAUCAAACAGGAUUAGAUACCCUGGUAGUCCACGCAGUAAACGAUGAUGGCUAACCGCUGGGCGUAUCAGUUCAGUGGCCAAGCGAAAGCGAUGAGCCAUCCACCUGGGGAGUACGACCGCAAGGUUGAAACUCAAAGGAAUUGACGGGU